This 74-nucleotide transfer RNA is filed under the name Actinomycetota bacterium. RNAcentral's name for it is "tRNA-Arg". It matches the Rfam family "tRNA". From Rfam's summary of the family: Transfer RNA (tRNA) molecules are approximately 80 nucleotides in length. Their secondary structure includes four short double-helical elements and three loops (D, anti-codon, and T loops). Further hydrogen bonds mediate the characteristic L-shaped molecular structure. tRNAs have two regions of fundamental functional importance: the anti-codon, which is responsible for specific mRNA codon recognition, and the 3' end, to which the tRNAs corresponding amino acid is attached (by aminoacyl-tRNA synthetases). tRNAs cope with the degeneracy of the genetic code in two manners: having more than one tRNA (with a specific anti-codon) for a particular amino acid; and 'wobble' base-pairing, i.e. permitting non-standard base-pairing at the 3rd anti-codon position. RNAcentral also lists the same sequence under 1 other name. Lineage: Bacteria; Bacillati; Actinomycetota. The record is from RNAcentral.
GCGCCCUUAGCUCAGUGGAUUAGAGUGCGUCGCUACGGACGACGAGGUCGGGGGUUCGAAUCCCUCAGGGCGCA